GUUGUGGUAUACCAAGUUGGGGCGAGCCUGGCACUGGGAACAUAUUGUUGUGAGCUUGGCACUGUGUACAUGUGGUAUGGUACGUUGCAGUGGCAUUGACACUGUGUAUGUUGUGGCAAAGCAAGGUGGGGUGAGCCUUGCACUGUGUACAUGUAAUAUGGCAGGUUGUGGUGAGCCUGGCACUGUGUAUAUGUGGUAUGGCAUGUUAGGGUAAGCCAGGCACUCUGUAGAUGUGGUAGUAUAGCAGGUUCAGGUAUAGCAAGUUUGGUUGAGUCUGGCACUGUGUAUUAUAGCAGGUUGGGGCGAGUCUGGCAUUGUGUACAUGUGGUAUGGCAGGCUGGGACGAGACUGGCACUGUGUGUGUGUGUAUAUGUAUAUAUACACACACACAAACAUAUAUAUCGAUGUUAAGCUGGUUGUGGUGAGCCGGGCACUGUGUAUGUUGUGGUAUACCAAGUUGGGGCGAGCCUGGCACUGGGAACAUAUUGUUGUGAGCUUGGCACUGCGUACAUGUGGUAUGGUACGUUACAGUGACAUUGUGUAUGUUGUGGCAAAGCAAGGUGGGGUGAGCCUUGCACUGUGUACAUGUAAUAUGGCAGGUUGGGGCGAGCCUGGCACUGUGUAUGUUGUAGGCAAGUUGGGGGCGAGCCUGGCACUGUGUACAUGUAAUAUGGCAGGUUGGGGUGAGCCUGGCACUGUGUAUGUUGUAGGCAGGUUGGGGUGAGCCUGGCACUGUGUAUGUUGUAGGCAAGUUGGGGCGAGCCUGGCACUGUGUACAUAUUGUUGUGAGCUUGGCACUGUGUACAUGUGGUAUGGUACGUUGCAGUGACAUUGACACUGUGUAUGUUGUGGCAUAGCAAGGUGGGGUGAGCCUUGCACUGUGUACAUGUAAUAUGGCAGGUUGUGGUGAGCCUGGCACUGUGCACAUAUUGUCGUUAAGCUGGUUGUUGUGAGUUUGGCACUGUGUACAUGUGGUAUGGUACGUUGGAGUGAGUUUGGCACUGUGUACAUGUGGUAUGGUACGUUGGAGUGACAUUGACACUGUGAAUGUUCUGGCAUAGCAAGGUGGGGCGAGCCUGGCACUGUGUACAUCUAAUAUAG
Non-coding RNA from Pelobates cultripes (western spadefoot toad), 1101 nucleotides. The record is from the annotation of a GenBank genome assembly. Lineage: Eukaryota; Metazoa; Chordata; Amphibia; Anura; Pelobatidae.